This 253-nucleotide ribosomal RNA is filed under the name uncultured bacterium. RNAcentral describes it as "partial 16S ribosomal RNA". It matches the Rfam family "Bacterial small subunit ribosomal RNA", at positions 524 to 776 of the family's 1533-position model. The record is from RNAcentral.
UACGGAGGUGGCAAGCGUUGUUCGGAAUUACUGGGCGUAAAGGGCGCGUAGGCGGCAUGGCAAGUCAGGUGUGAAAGCCCCGGGCUCAACUCGGGAACUGCAUCUGAAACUGCUGUGCUUGAGUCCUGGAGGGGGUAGUGGAAUUCCCAGUGUAGCGGUGAAAUGCGUAGAUAUUGGGAGGAACACCGGUGGCGAAGGCGGCUACCUGGACAGUGACUGACGCUGAGGCGCGAAAGCUAGGGGAGCAAACGGG